UUAAAGACAGCCCCUUUCUUUCGGGGUCUGCGACGGGAUCAAGAUAUGUGCUGGAAACGGUCAUAGAGUAGACUAUACAAGUACAUUUUGUUAAAAUAAUCUGGCGAGAAUUUUAAAAAAAUCUUGAAGAGGGAAGUUAUUGACAGAAUGAGGGGAUAAAAAACACUGGAAUAAAUCCAACAAGUCAGUAGCGCUCUCUAUUGGAGAAUUAAAGAAAUACAGUCAUAUCAAGGGAAACAACUUCUACCUCGGGCCAAAAUAGCUAAUUACGAUUAUUAAUUAACGGAGUCGGUGCUAGUAUCUGAAUACGAAUAUUACAUUAUGUUGACGUAGAAGAAAUUUCUUCAUUCAAAUGUGCCUCUGAUAUUUUUAUCAACUAUUAUUCACUAAAGGAAAAUGAUAUAUUUAUAUUACAAGGAUUCAUCAAUACAUCAGACUCAUUAUAUAAAUAAAUCUAUGAAAAACUGUUUCUUUUGGACAAUGGAAUUAGCAGCAACAUCUUAUUGUCUUCGCUGCCUGGAAUGUAGACGAGAUGAUCACUUCACAGGUUAAUUAAGCUUGGAUAACUUUACGAAGCAUUUGACAGUUUUCACCUGCUGAUUUAGAUAUCAAGUAAGAUCACAGAUGAAAGAAACAUGGCAUUAAAUUAUUCUCUGGAAAUAGUGACGCAAGUGCUAGUGUCAUGUACAAUGCAUAGGUGCCGGUGCCAUAUAAAAAGCAUUGGUGCUGGUGUCACACAAAGAACACAAGUGCCAGUCUUGUGUACAACGCAUAGGUGCUUUUGCCCACAUAUAAAGCACUGGUGCUGGUGUCAGAUACAUGGCACUGGUGCCCUUGCCACAUGAUAUGCACUAGUGAUGGUGCUGAUGCCAGGAAAAAACGUGCUAGUGCUGAUGCCAUGUAAAGAGCCUCGGCGCUGGGGCCACAUGAAAAACAUUGCUGCUGGUGUCACUUAAAAAGCACUGGUGAUGGUACCAUACAAGAAAACCUUGAGGAUAGUGUUACAUAAAAAGAGCAGGUUCUGCUGUCACAUAUAAUUCAUUGGUGUUGGUCCUUCAUAAAAAACCAUGCGCAAUGAUACCAUGUAACAAGCACUGCUGCUGUGGCACAUAAAAAGCACUGGAGAUGGUACCACACAAGUGAAGCCCUGGUGAUGGUGUCACAUAAAAAGAGCAGGUACUGGUGUCACAUGAAAUUCAUUGGUGUUGCUCACUUAUAAAAAACUUAAGCAAUGAUGCCAUGUAAAAAGCACUGGUGAUGCUUCCAAGUGAAAAAUCACUAUGGAUGGUGCUAUGUCAAAACAUUGGUGAUGGUGCCAUGUAAGAUGAACUGCUGAGGCUGUCACACAAUAAGAACUGGUAAUGCUGUCCUGUAAAAAGCAUUAGUGCUGGCACAACGUAAAUAACACUUCACUCUUGGAGUGGUUAGUGUUAGGAAGGGCAUCCAGCUGUAGAAACUCUGCCAGAUCAGAUUGGAGCCUGGUGUAGCCAUCUGGUUUACCAGUCCUCAGUCAAAUCGUCCAACCCAUGCUAGCAUGGAAAGCGGACGUUAAAUGAUAAUGAUGAUGAUGAUGAUAUAUAUAUAUAUAUAUAAACUACACUCUCAGAGUGGUUGGCAUUAGGAAGGGCAUCCAGCUGUAGAAACUCUGUCAAAUCAGAUUGGAGCUUGGUGUAGCCAUCUGAUUUCCCCAGUCCUCAGUCAAAUCGUCCAGCCUAUGCCAGCAUGGAAACGGACGUUAAACGAUGAUGAUGAUGAUGUAAAUUAGUUGGCAUUAAGAAGUGCUCCCUGCAGUAGAUAACAUGCGAAAACAGACAAUGGAACCUCAUGCAGCUCCUGUCAAACCAUCCAGCACAUGUCUACCUGGAAAACAGAUAUUAAACGAUGAUACACAACAGUAACUAACAUACUUUGAAUCUGAUCCUCUACUGAUGUAUUGAGAACAAAUACGCCAAAUUUCGUAGUGUCUGUAAUUUUACAUCCAAUAUAUUAAACAUGUGUCGUUGUCGUUGGCUUUAUCUUGUGUUCAAGAAUUUAAUUCCUCUUUUGCUGAUUGCUUCCUUUAUGGUGACGGUAUUGACCGCAUGGUAAUGUUGGUGGAGGACAAGGUCGAUUUUGUCGAACAUUUCUCUCAUUUCACUUGUUCCUUUUCUCUUCUGGUGGCUUUCAUGAUUUUUCACUCCAAAGGUGACGGAACCUAACCAGUUGGUCUCAAGCUUGUAUUCCAAACAAUUUAAGCUCAAGCAGUGGCUUUCAGUGCAUCUUCAAAGAGGCCAAUCAUGUGGUAUUUUCUCCGAAGUGAGCUCGCUGAAUAAGACUUGGCUUGGAAACCUUGACUCUUCUAUUCCUGCUACAUGUGUUCCCAUCAAAGUCGGUGUUUCACGAUGAGUGACUCCAUACUUUGACCUUUGGCCUUUUCCAGGACUUUGUUGUUGGUCCUGUACUGUUGCCAUUUGAUGUUCAAGAUUGAACGACUCUUCUACAUACCUGAUCCAACAUUAGCAUCUGAAAGAUUCUGAGCAAUGAUACCAUGUAACCAUACUCUAUGGUAUGGAGAAAUAUAUGUAUGUUUAAUUGGAAGUUGUGAUAAUUCUAUCAUACAAAGCUUUUAAUCAUGUAUCUUUUAUUCGUUUCAUUAGACUGUGGCCAUACUGGGGCAAUGCCUUCAAGAUGUUUAGUCAAAUAUAUCAAUACCAGUGCUUAUUUUUCUUGAAGCCUAGUAUGUAUUUUAUAGGUGUCUUGCCAAGCCGUUCAAUUACAGUGACAUGAUCACUACAAGGGUUGUCAAGUGGUAGCUAGGGGACAAACACACACUGGUAAAUGGAUAUCUUCUUUCAAUUUCCAUCUACCAACUUUUUAUAUCUUGGUCUUGGAUAUAUAAUUUAACGAGGCUUGAGGAAAUAAUUAUUUACAUAACGCAAUACGAUUACUAUUGCAUGAGACUCGUCAAUCAACGACUCUCAGUGAACUACUUACUAAUUGCUUGUAGUUCGUUAUAGCAAUGGGUCAGUCCACUUUUAGUUCCUUGUUGAGUGGUCAGAAUCGUUCCACAAAAGGAAGCGAGCUGGCAGAAACGUUAGCAUGCCAGACGAAAUGCUUAGCGGUAUUUCGUCUGCCGCUACGUCGACUUUGCCUUUCAUCCUUUCGGGGUCGAUUAAAUAAGUACCAGUUACGCACUGGGGUCGAUAUAAUCGAUUUAAUACCUUUGUCUGUCCUUAUUUGUCCCCUCUGUGUUUAGCCCCUUGUGGGCAAUAAAGAAAUAAGAAUCCUUCCACAACACAAUUCCACUGACAAGACUUUGGUCAAACUGAGGCUGUUGUAGAAGGCACUUGCUCAAGGUGAACCUGGAACCAUGUGGUCAAGCAACUGUUAUGAAAUAACGACUCAUGACAGUUGUCAGAAUAUGACUUUUUAUCUGCGUGAAUACGUUUGUGCCUUUUCAAGUGACUGACUUCCAAAAAUGAUUUACCACAGGUAUUACAAUAUGGUUUUACCUUAGUAUGAAUACGUUUGUGAUUAGUCAACUGACUAUUUUGAGAGAAUGAUUUACCACAGAUAAUACAAUGAUAGGGCUUCUCUCAUGUAUGAAUACGUUUGAGACUAACUAAAGUGCUAUUUUCAGAAAAUGAUUUACCACACAUAUCACAGUGAUGUGGUUUUCCUCCAGUAUGAAUAUAUUUGUGACUAGUCAAGAGAUUAUUACAAGAGAAUGAUUUAACGUAGCUAUCACAAUGAUAGAUUAUUUCAGCAACCAUAUGAGUAUUCAAACACAACACACAAGUGUAAUGAUUUCAAUAUCAAAAUUUAUUUCAUGAAAACAAUUGUGACUGUUUUGUCUGCUAAAGGACAGAGUUUUUUUUCUUCUUCAAAUUUGAUGUUAUCAACAUCAGUUUCACCAAUAUAUAUGUGUGUGUCACUGUUUGUGAAUUACUUCACCAUGGUUAACAGCAAAUACAACCUGUGACAACCUUCUGUAACAAAAGACCGGCUAUGCAUCACAGCCACAACUUCUUAUACGACAGUACCUCAACCGGCUCUGCAUCGCAGCCACAACUUCUUAUACGACAGUACCUCAACCUGCUCUGCAGCGCAGCCACAACUUCUUAUACGACAGUACCUCAACCGGCUCUGCAUUGCAGCCACAACUUCUUGAUACAGCAUCUCAACUAUCGUGUACAUCGACUACGAACUGGUAUUUAUCAUCCUUGUGUCUGAACAUUCUUCUAACAUCAUAUUAUGGACUCUUUCAAUGCUCUGUACUUAACGCACACGCAUACAUCCAUGUUUGUACACACAUACACAUUAUGUAUACAUGACGCACACACAGACACACAUGUUAACCUAUCAAUAAAGUCUUGUCUUAAACAUUCUA
Long non-coding RNA from Octopus bimaculoides (California two-spot octopus), 4369 nucleotides. RefSeq lists it as uncharacterized. The record is from RefSeq and is a predicted model, not a curated record. NCBI's taxonomy places the organism in Eukaryota, Metazoa, Mollusca, Cephalopoda, Octopoda, Octopodidae.